UGCAGUCGAGCGGUAGCACAGAGAGCUUGCUCUCGGGUGACGAGCGGCGGACGGGUGAGUAAUGUCUGGGAAACUGCCUGAUGGAGGGGGAUAACUACUGGAAACGGUAGCUAAUACCGCAUAACGUCGCAAGACCAAAGUGGGGGACCUUCGGGCCUCAUGCCAUCAGAUGUGCCCAGAUGGGAUUAGCUAGUAGGUGGGGUAACGGCUCACCUAGGCGACGAUCCCUAGCUGGUCUGAGAGGAUGACCAGCCACACUGGAACUGAGACACGGUCCAGACUCCUACGGGAGGCAGCAGUGGGGAAUAUUGCACAAUGGGCGCAAGCCUGAUGCAGCCAUGCCGCGUGUGUGAAGAAGGCCUUCGGGUUGUAAAGCACUUUCAGCGGGGAGGAAGGCGAUAAGGUUAAUAACCUUGUCGAUUGACGUUACCCGCAGAAGAAGCACCGGCUAACUCCGUGCCAGCAGCCGCGGUAAUACGGAGGGUGCAAGCGUUAAUCGGAAUUACUGGGCGUAAAGCGCACGCAGGCGGUCUGUCAAGUCGGAUGUGAAAUCCCCGGGCUCAACCUGGGAACUGCAUUCGAAACUGGCAGGCUAGAGUCUUGUAGAGGGGGGUAGAAUUCCAGGUGUAGCGGUGAAAUGCGUAGAGAUCUGGAGGAAUACCGGUGGCGAAGGCGGCCCCCUGGACAAAGACUGACGCUCAGGUGCGAAAGCGUGGGGAGCAAACAGGAUUAGAUACCCUGGUAGUCCACGCCGUAAACGAUGUCGAUUUGGAAGUUGUGCCCUUGAGGCGUGGCUUCCGGAGCUAACGCGUUAAAUCGACCGCCUGGGGAGUACGGCCGCAAGGUUAAAACUCAAAUGAAUUGACGGGGGCCCGCACAAGCGGUGGAGCAUGUGGUUUAAUUCGAUGCAACGCGAAGAACCUUACCUGGUCUUGACAUCCACAGAACUUUCCAGAGAUGGAUUGGUGCCUUCGGGAACUGUGUGACAGGUGCUGCAUGGCUGUCGUCAGCUCGUGUUGUGAAAUGUUGGGUUAAGUCCCGCAACGAGCGCAACCCUUAUCCUUUGUUGCCAGCGGUUCAGGCCGGGAACUCAAAGGAAACUGCCAUUGAUAACUUGGAGAAA
RNAcentral lists this ribosomal RNA (1123 nucleotides) under Klebsiella sp. RNAcentral describes it as "bacterial SSU rRNA". It matches the Rfam family "Bacterial small subunit ribosomal RNA", at positions 56 to 1171 of the family's 1533-position model. The record is from RNAcentral. Lineage: Bacteria; Pseudomonadati; Pseudomonadota; Gammaproteobacteria; Enterobacterales; Enterobacteriaceae.